GCAAAAUGUAUGUCAGUUUGUACCUUGCUUUAAAAAUUAUACCAACUGUUGAUCUCUUGCGCUUUUCCAGAAGCUGAGAACUGAGGAAUUGUUGCUGUCCGGGCCCUUCUAUCUCCCCUAGCUGCAUUUCCUAUAGCAGGAGCUGAGGAAGGAACAGCUGUGACUGUCCCAUUCCAGAAAAGGAUUCCCUCUCACAGGAGAAAUCUCUUGCUGGUUGAAUUCGCUAAGUUUUAAGCCUGCUUAAUGCUGACUGUCAGACAUAAGGCAGAUGCAACAGCUUCAGAACUAGAUUAACACAUGCUAGACCAGAGGUUUCCAAAGACUUUCCCUGUGACAGCACGUGUGGCUACAGAAAGUUCACAGUGGACAGAGUCCUGACAUCUGCACUAGUAGCUACUUUGAACUGCACUGGCCUUGCAUGAAGUUUCUGAUGGCUUCAUUUGAGAGAUGCUGUGCCAGGCCCAGUCAAAUUGAAGAUCUUCAGGACUGUACAGAAAUCAGUGGCUGGAUCUUCAGAASAGCUCACCAAGUUUUGAAAAUUGGACCAUGUAU
RNAcentral lists this long non-coding RNA (552 nucleotides) under Apteryx rowi (Okarito brown kiwi). RNAcentral's name for it is "lncRNA (ENSARWG00000003765.1)". Lineage: Eukaryota; Metazoa; Chordata; Aves; Apterygiformes; Apterygidae. The record is from RNAcentral.